CACCGGAGCUUGCUCCACCGGGAAAAGAGGAGUGGCGAACGGGUGAGUAACACGUGGGUAACCUGCCCAUCAGAAGGGGAUAACACUUGGAAACAGGUGCUAAUACCGUAUAACAAUCGAAACCGCAUGGUUUCGUUUUGAAAGGCGCUUUACGGUGCCGCUGAUGGAUGGACCCGCGGUGCAUUAGCUAGUUGGUGAGGUAACGGCUCACCAAGGCCACGAUGCAUAGCCGACCUGAGAGGGUGAUCGGCCACAUUGGGACUGAGACACGGCCCAAACUCCUACGGGAGGCAGCAGUAGGGAAUCUUCGGCAAUGGACGNAAGUCUGACCGAGCAACGCCGCGUGAGUGAAGAAGGUUUUCGGAUCGUAAAACUCUGUUGUUAGAGAAGAACAAGGGUGAGAGUAACUGUUCACCCCUUGACGGUAUCUAACCAGAAAGCCACGGCUAACUACGUGCCAGCAGCCGCGGUAAUACGUAGGUGGCAAGCGUUGUCCGGAUUUAUUGGGCGUAAAGCGAGCGCAGGCGGUUUCUUAAGUCUGAUGUGAAAGCCCCCGGCUCAACCGGGGAGGGUCAUUGGAAACUGGGAGACUUGAGUGCAGAAGAGGAGAGUGGAAUUCCAUGUGUAGCGGUGAAAUGCGUAGAUAUAUGGAGGAACACCAGUGGCGAAGGCGGCUCUCUGGUCUGUAACUGACGCUGAGGCUCGAAAGCGUGGGGAGCAAACAGGAUUAGAUACCCUGGUAGUCCACGCCGU
Molecule: ribosomal RNA, 753 nt
Filed under: uncultured bacterium
Lineage: Bacteria
Description: bacterial SSU rRNA
Rfam family: Bacterial small subunit ribosomal RNA
Source: RNAcentral